UUGAAGAGCAAUGAGAUGCACACAAGAAAUCUCUAAAAGCGUGAAGUACUAAUGGCUAACAUGAUGGUACAUAAGCUUGGGUUCAUCCUUACUAUUCUUCUCAUAUCAGCAGCUGUGAAUGUUUCAUGGUUGGAAAGGAAAUGUGUGAUAGCUACACCAAAUGUGGAUCAUGAUCUUGCUGCAGUCAAGAGGAGACUACUUCCACAAGUUAAUAGUCUUAAAACUUGUACUAGAGCUUGUAAAACCAGUGCUGAUUGUAGUGAUUGUUGGUUUUGUUGCGUUUGCGCACAAAACGCGCAAGGUUAUCCCAUGUGUAUAUAGAUCAUGUGCAAACAUGACUAUAUACAGUCAGACCUCUUUAAUUGAUGAUAGGCCUGCUAUCGUCUUUUAAUUUUAUUGUAUCCUUUUAUUUCGUCCCCUAUGUAAUAAUGAAAUAAGUGAAGUGCACAAGUUUGCAAAUAAUAAAGUAAGUGAAAUGGACGAAUUUCAAAAAUGGAAAGAAAUAUUGUCCACAACUCAAAGUGCUAGCUGAGAUAGCUGGUUAUUAUUUUUUUUAUUAUGCAUCAUAUUUUUACC
This is a long non-coding RNA of Nicotiana attenuata, 576 nucleotides long. RefSeq lists it as uncharacterized. The transcript is spliced from 2 exons. The record is from RefSeq and is a predicted model, not a curated record. Lineage: Eukaryota; Viridiplantae; Streptophyta; Magnoliopsida; Solanales; Solanaceae.